RNAcentral lists this ribosomal RNA (706 nucleotides) under Candidatus Phytoplasma pruni. RNAcentral's name for it is "bacterial SSU rRNA". It matches the Rfam family "Bacterial small subunit ribosomal RNA", at positions 640 to 1354 of the family's 1533-position model. The record is from RNAcentral. Lineage: Bacteria; Bacillati; Mycoplasmatota; Mollicutes; Acholeplasmatales; Acholeplasmataceae.
ACUAGAGUGAGAUAGAGGCAAGCGGAAUUCCAUGUGUAGCGGUAAAAUGCGUAAAUAUAUGGAGGAACACCAGAGGCGUAGGCGGCUUGCUGGGUCUUUACUGACGCUGAGGCACGAAAGCGUGGGGAGCAAACAGGAUUAGAUACCCUGGUAGUCCACGCCGUAAACGAUGAGUACUAAGUGUCGGGUAAAACUGGUACUGAAGUUAACACAUUAAGUACUCCGCCUGAGUAGUACGUACGCAAGUAUGAAACUUAAAGGAAUUGACGGGACUCCGCACAAGCGGUGGAUCAUGUUGUUUAAUUCGAAGAUACACGAAAAACCUUACCAGGUCUUGACAUUUUCUUGCGAAGUUAUAGAAAUAUAAUGGAGGUUAUCAGGAAAACAGGUGGUGCAUGGUUGUCGUCAGCUCGUGUCGUGAGAUGUUAGGUUAAGUCCUAAAACGAGCGCAACCCUUGUCGUUAAUUGCCAGCAUGUAAUGAUGGGGACUUUAACGAGACUGCCAAUGAAAAAUUGGAGGAAGGUGGGGAUUACGUCAAAUCAUCAUGCCCCUUAUGAUCUGGGCUACAAACGUGAUACAAUGGUUGAUACAAAGAGUAGCUGAAACGCGAGUUCUUAGCCAAUCUCAAAAAAACAAUCUCAGUUCGGAUUGAAGUCUGCAACUCGACUUCAUGAAGUUGGAAUCGCUAGUAAUCGCGAAUCAGCA